UACGAAGGGGGCUAGCGUUGUUCGGAAUUACUGGGCGUAAAGCGUAUGCAGGCGGAUCGUUAAGUCAGGGGUGAAAUCCCGAGGCUCAACCUCGGAACUGCCUUUGAUACUGGGGAUCUCGAGUCCGGGAGAGGUGAGUGGAACUGCGAGUGUAGAGGUGAAAUUCGUAGAUAUUCGCAAGAACACCAGUGGCGAAGGCGGCUCACUGGCCCGGAACUGACGCUGAGGUGCGAAAGCGUGGGGAGCAAACAGG
This 253-nucleotide ribosomal RNA is filed under the name uncultured bacterium. RNAcentral describes it as "partial 16S ribosomal RNA". It matches the Rfam family "Bacterial small subunit ribosomal RNA", at positions 524 to 776 of the family's 1533-position model. The record is from RNAcentral.